RNAcentral lists this long non-coding RNA (1080 nucleotides) under Pan troglodytes (chimpanzee). Its description in RNAcentral is "lincRNA". The record is from RNAcentral. Lineage: Eukaryota; Metazoa; Chordata; Mammalia; Primates; Hominidae.
GGAGCAGCUUCAGCCCAGACCCCCAGUGCAGGUGCUGCUCCAGCCCUGAAGCAUCUCACAACCAUGGCUGGCAGAUGCCAAGGGGAUGUGUGAGAUGGCCCAGCUCCAGGAUGAAACUCAACUUGAGGGAAGCUGGGGAGAGCCUCACAGCGCUGGACAAGCCAUCAGAUGGCACUGCCCCCAGGGACACACCCGGGGGCGUGGACAGGGAUAUGCAGGACCUAAGGCAAAGGGUGGCUUCAAACGUGACAGCAGAUCAGCCGCUGGGAAAAUACCAGAGGGGAUUUGACAGCUGGGCCAGGUGUUCCAGGACAGCACUUUGCAAAAGAUUUUCCAUCCAAACUUCCAGCAAGAAGUAGAUCUUCCAUCGUUAUCCAGAGCAUAUCUACGCAUUCAGAUGAAGAAAACAACGCUGACAUGCAUUAUCUCCCAACACCAACCUCAACCCAGCCCUGGAAAGUGAACAGAGCCAGCAGCAUUUCCAGCCCCGCCUCUGGAGGAAGGAGAGGAACCUGAGACUCUUGGGUGACCUGAGGCGUCUCUGGCAGCACCAGCAAAAGAGCCUGGCCCUGGCCGCCCAGCACAGGUGCUCAGUCCCUCCUGACUGCCACUGCUCCCUCAACACCAAAGCACAGGGUCGCGAGAUGUUGGGAGAGGGUCGGGGAUGCUGGGCUGGGAGAGGACCUGGGGGCCUGUCAGAAGCCAUGACAUGAUGCGCUCACCGCUCAGGAGGAAGCUACUGGCCUUUGAGUGAAAUCUAUAAGAAUGAACUCUGGAGAUGUAUCGUACAACAUGGAGUCUACAGUUAAAAAAUGUAUUGUAUACUGGAAAAUUGCUAAGAUUAGAUCUUCCAUGUUCUCACUACAAAAGCAUAAGUAUGUGAGGUGACAGACGUGUGUGUCAGCUUGAUUUAAUCAUUUUGCAGUGUGGCAAAGCAUCGCAUUGUAGGUGGUAAAUAUAUAUACAGUUUUGUCAAUUAUACCUUCAGGAAGCUGGGGUGGUUGGUGUGUGUGUGUGUCUGUGUGAUGUGAGGUCAGUGAGGUGCUGAACAUGGUGCAUUAAACAGCAUUUUCAUUCUUA